GAUGAGUAUAGAAAUAAGACUUUAUGUGCAGAGAAUAUGAUGGUGUACAUGAAGAAGUCUAAAUAAUUUUAUUAGUCCACGUUUCCCAGAAAAACACAAGUAGUAGUAUACUAUAUAUAUACUAUAAUUGUGUGAACCAAUUCCACUACUAUAAUCGUGUGAACCAUUACUCUACAAUUCACAAUUAUGGAGUCUGAGAAGUCCCAUGAUCUGCCAUUUACAAGCUGGAGGCCCAGGAAAUCCAGUGGUGUAGUAUAAUUCGGUCUGCGCCCUUUGUUUGACUUCCCUUUUCCUUCUCUUUCUCUUUCUCCUUACAAUCUUUCUCUUCUGUUUGCUCUUCUUUCUCUUGUCUCUCUUAUCCUCUACUUCACACAAGUUCUCAAUCUUGCUGUUGUUGAAGAAAAGCAGAUGUCUGGUCUUUAACAUCAGAUAAAAUGUUGAUAAAAACCCUUGCAAGUCCCUCAUUCCAGCAUUAACUCCGAAGUCCAAAAUCAAAGGUCUCAUCUGAGACAAGGCAAGUCUCUUCUACCCAUAAGCCUGCAGGCUUAACUCCAUGUGGAAGCUGCCAAAGCUUAUGGCUUGCACCCUCUGAAGCAACAGUUCAAGCUGUACCUGGGCCCUAUUGAGCCAUGGCUGGAGAUAGAGUGGCUGGGACGCAGGAAGCAGUGUCCCAAGGAUAUGCGGUGUGGUGGGGUCCUGGUCUUGGCUCACAAAAACAUUCUUCUCUGCUAGGUCUCUGGGCCUGUGAUGGGAUAGGCUACCGGGAAAGUCUCUGAAAUGUUUUUGAGGCCUCCUCAUUGUCUUGGUUAUUAACAUUUGGAUUCUUUUUACUUAUGCAAAUUUUUACAGCCUGCUUGAAUUCCUUCCCUAAAAAAAUGGGCUUUUCUUUUCUACCAGAUGGCCAGGCUGCACAUCUUCUAAACUUUAAUGCUCUACUUCCCUUUUAAAUGUUAGUUCGAGUUUUAGGUCUUUGCUUUCCUCACACAUAUGAACAUAGGUUGUUAGAGGCA
RNAcentral lists this long non-coding RNA (1010 nucleotides) under Homo sapiens (human). RNAcentral's name for it is "HSALNT0287922". The record is from RNAcentral. Lineage: Eukaryota; Metazoa; Chordata; Mammalia; Primates; Hominidae.